RNAcentral lists this ribosomal RNA (238 nucleotides) under uncultured bacterium. RNAcentral's name for it is "partial 16S ribosomal RNA". It matches the Rfam family "Bacterial small subunit ribosomal RNA", at positions 1257 to 1500 of the family's 1533-position model. The record is from RNAcentral.
GCGACGCCGAGCGGAACCCGAAAAACGGACGCCUCAGUUCGGAUUGGAGUCUGCAACCCGACUCCAUGAAGCUGGAUUCGCUAGUAAUCGCGCAUCAGCCACGGCGCGGUGAAUACGUUCCCGGGCCUUGUACACACCGCCCGUCAAGCCAUGGGAGCCGGGAGUGCCUGAAGUGCGCGGCCGCGAGGAGCGCCCUAGGGCAAGACUGGUGACUGGGGCUAAGUCGUAACAAGGUACC